RNAcentral lists this ribosomal RNA (514 nucleotides) under uncultured bacterium. RNAcentral's name for it is "partial 16S ribosomal RNA". It matches the Rfam family "Bacterial small subunit ribosomal RNA", at positions 28 to 523 of the family's 1533-position model. The record is from RNAcentral.
GAUGAACGCUGGCGGCGUGCCUAAUACAUGCAAGUCGAGCGAACAGAUGAGAAGCUUGCUUCUCUGAUGUUAGCGGCGGACGGGUGAGUAACACGUGGGUAACCUACCGAUAAGACUGGGAUAACUACGGGAAACCGGGGCUAAUACCGGAUAAUAUUUUGAACCGCAUGGUUCGAUAGUGAAAGACGGUUUCGGCUGUCACUUAUAGAUGGACCCGCGCCGUAUUAGCUAGUUGGUAAGGUAACGGCUUACCAAGGCGACGAUACGUAGCCGAGCUGGGAGGGUGAUCCGCCACACUGGAACUGAGACACGGUCCAGACUCCUACGGGAGGCAGCAGUAGGGAAUCUGCCCCAAUGAGCGAAAGCCUGGCGGAGCAACGCCGCGUGAGUGAUGAAGGUCUUCGGAUCGUAAAACUCUGUUGUUAGGGAAGAACAAAUUUGUUAGUAACUGAACAAGUCUUGACGGUACCUAACCAGAAAGCCACGGCUAACUACGUGCCAGCAGCCGCUGUAA